Molecule: ribosomal RNA, 253 nt
Filed under: uncultured bacterium
Lineage: Bacteria
Description: partial 16S ribosomal RNA
Rfam family: Bacterial small subunit ribosomal RNA
Source: RNAcentral
UACAGAGGUCUCGAGCGUUGUUCGGAUUCAUUGGGCGUAAAGGGCGCGUAGGCGGCGGGGUAAGUCUGGUGUGAAAUCUCGGAGCUCAACUCCGAAAUUGCACUGGAUACUGCUCUGCUAGAGGGCUGGAGAGGAGAUCGGAAUUCACGGUGUAGCAGUGAAAUGCGUAGAUAUCAGGAGGAACACCGAUGGCGAAGGCAGGUCUCUGGGCUGACACUGACGCUCAUGCACGAAAGCGUGGGGAGCAAACAGG